This 495-nucleotide ribosomal RNA is filed under the name uncultured bacterium. RNAcentral's name for it is "partial 16S ribosomal RNA". It matches the Rfam family "Bacterial small subunit ribosomal RNA", at positions 28 to 507 of the family's 1533-position model. The record is from RNAcentral.
GACGAACGCUGGCGGCGUGCCUAAUACAUGCAAGUAGAACGCUGAAGGAGGAGCUUGCUUCUCUGGAUGAGUUGCGAACGGGUGAGUAACGCGUAGGUAACCUGCCUGGUAGCGGGGGAUAACUAUUGGAAACGAUAGCUAAUACCGCAUAAGAGUAGAUGUUGCAUGACAUUUGCUUAAAAGGUGCAAUUGCAUCACUACCAGAUGGACCUGCGUUGUAUUAGCUAGUUGGUGGGGUAACGGCUCACCAAGGCGACGAUACAUAGCCGACCUGAGAGGGUGAUCGGCCACACUGGGACUGAGACACGGCCCAGACUCCUACGGGAGGCAGCAGUAGGGAAUCUUCGGCAAUGGACGGAAGUCUGACCGAGCAACGCCGCGUGAGUGAAGAAGGUUUUCGGAUCGUAAAGCUCUGUUGUAAGAGAAGAACGAGUGUGAGAGUGAAAAGUUCACACUGUGACGGUAUCUUACCAGAAAGGGACGGCUAACUACGUG